Molecule: long non-coding RNA, 335 nt
Filed under: Mytilus galloprovincialis (Mediterranean mussel)
Lineage: Eukaryota; Metazoa; Mollusca; Bivalvia; Mytilida; Mytilidae
Source: RNAcentral
AAGAGUUACAAAUAAAAAUAACUUAUAACAAGCAAAUAAAAAUAACAAAUUUGUUAUUUCUUGGCAAGAAUACAUGUUGAAGUCUCACUACAUCAAUAAGGCAACUGGUUCCUCAACAGAAUAAGAAAGGUACCAGGUUAUUACCUAUUGUAAAUCAUUUCUCUGAAGUAUAUUUUUAUACAACAGUUACAAUAACAUUUUGGCAUUACAACAUUAACAAUAUUUCACAUGUCCCAUCAACAAUAUAUACAUGUUUAUAUUAUCUAGUUUUUAUCAUCAACAACAUGUACACCUUCUAUGGGUUUCAUUGAACAUCAAGCCCAGCUCACACUAUU